GUAAAAAGUAGAAUAAUAGAUUUGAAAUAUUUAUUAUAUAGAUUUAAAGAGAUAAUCAUGGAGUAUAAUAAUUAAAUUUAAUAAAUUUAAUAUAACUAUUAAUAGAAUUAGGUUACUAAUAAAUUAAUAACAAUUAAUUUUAAAACCUAAAGGUAAACCUUUAUAUUAAUAAUGUUAUUUUUUAUUAUAUUUAUAAUAAGAAUAAUUAUUAAUAAUAAUAAACUAAGUGAACUGAAACAUCUAAGUAACUUAAGGAUAAGAAAUCAACAGAGAUAUUAUGAGUAUUGGUGAGAGAAAAUAAUAAAGGUCUAAUAAGUAUUAUGUGAAAAAAAUGUAAGAAAAUAGGAUAACAAAUUCUAAGACUAAAUACUAUUAAUAAGUAUAGUAAGUACCGUAAGGGAAAGUAUGAAAAUGAUUAUUUUAUAAGCAAUCAUGAAUAUAUUAUAUUAUAUUAAUGAUGUACCUUUUGUAUAAUGGGUCAGCAAGUAAUUAAUAUUAGUAAAACAAUAAGUUAUAAAUAAAUAGAAUAAUAUAUAUAUAUAAAAAAAUAUAUUAAAAUAUUUAAUUAAUAUUAAUUGACCCGAAAGCAAACGAUCUAACUAUGAUAAGAUGGAUAAACGAUCGAACAGGUUGAUGUUGCAAUAUCAUCUGAUUAAUUGUGGUUAGUAGUGAAAGACAAAUCUGGUUUGCAGAUAGCUGGUUUUCUAUGAAAUAUAUGUAAGUAUAGCCUUUAUAAAUAAUAAUUAUUAUAUAAUAUUAUAUUAAUAUUAUAUAAAGAAUGGUACAGCAAUUAAUAUAUAUUAGGGAACUAUUAAAGUUUUAUUAAUAAUAUUAAAUCUCGAAAUAUUUAAUUAUAUAUAAUAAAGAGUCAGAUUAUGUGCGAUAAGGUAAAUAAUCUAAAGGGAAACAGCCCAGAUUAAGAUAUAAAGUUCCUAAUAAAUAAUAAGUGAAAUAAAUAUUAAAAUAUUAUAAUAUAAUCAGUUAAUGGGUUUGACAAUAACCAUUUUUUAAUGAACAUGUAACAAUGCACUGAUUUAUAAUAAAUAAAAAAAAAAUAAUAUUUAAAAUCAAAUAUAUAUAUAUUUGUUAAUAGAUAAUAUACGGAUCUUAAUAAUAAGAAUUAUUUAAUUCCUAAUAUGGAAUAUUAUAUUUUUAUAAUAAAAAUAUAAAUACUGAAUAUCUAAAUAUUAUUAUUACUUUUUUUUUUUAAUAAUAAUAAUAUGGUAAUAGAACAUUUAAUGAUAAUAUAUAUUAGUUAUUAAUUAAUAUAUGUAUUAAUUAAAUAGAGAAUGCUGACAUGAGUAACGAAAAAAAGGUAUAAACCUUUUCACCUAAAACAUAAGGUUUAACUAUAAAAGUACGGCCCCUAAUUAAAUUAAUAAGAAUAUAAAUAUAUUUAAGAUGGGAUAAUCUAUAUUAAUAAAAAUUUAUCUUAAAAUAUAUAUAUUAUUAAUAAUUAUAUUAAUAAUAUAUAUAAUUAUAUUAUAUAUUAUAUAUUUUUUUAUAUAAUAUAAACUAAUAAAGAUCAGGAAAUAAUUAAUGUAUACCGUAAUGUAGACCGACUCAGGUAUGUAAGUAGAGAAUAUGAAGGUGAAUUAGAUAAUUAAAGGGAAGGAACUCGGCAAAGAUAGCUCAUAAGUUAGUCAAUAAAGAGUAAUAAGAACAAAGUUGUACAACUGUUUACUAAAAACACCGCACUUUGCAGAAACGAUAAGUUUAAGUAUAAGGUGUGAACUCUGCUCCAUGCUUAAUAUAUAAAUAAAAUUAUUUAACGAUAAUUUUAUUAAAUUUAGGUAAAUAGCAGCCUUAUUAUGAGGGUUAUAAUGUAGCGAAAUUCCUUGGCCUAUAAUUGAGGUCCCGCAUGAAUGACGUAAUGAUACAACAACUGUCUCCCCUUUAAGCUAAGUGAAAUUGAAAUCGUAGUGAAGAUGCUAUGUACCUUCAGCAAGACGGAAAGACCCUAUGCAGCUUUACUGUAAUUAGAUAGAUCGAAUUAUUGUUUAUUAUAUUCAGCAUAUUAAGUAAUCCUAUUAUUAGGUAAUCGUUUAGAUAUUAAUGAGAUACUUAUUAUAAUAUAAUGAUAAUUCUAAUCUUAUAAAUAAUUAUUAUUAUUAUUAUUAAUAAUAAUAAUAUGCUUUCAAGCAUAGUGAUAAAACAUAUUUAUAUGAUAAUCACUUUACUUAAUAGAUAUAAUUCUUAAGUAAUAUAUAAUAUAUAUUUUAUAUAUAUUAUAUAUAAUAUAAGAGACAAUCUCUAAUUGGUAGUUUUGAUGGGGCGUCAUUAUCAGCAAAAGUAUCUGAAUAAGUCCAUAAAUAAAUAUAUAAAAUUAUUGAAUAAAAAAAAAUAAUAUAUAUUAUAUAUAUUAAUUAUAAAUUGAAAUAUGUUUAUAUAAAUUUAUAUUUAUUGAAUAUAUUUUAGUAAUAGAUAAAAAUAUGUACAGUAAAAUUGUAAGGAAAACAAUAAUAACUUUCCUCAAAAAAUAAUUAUGGAAAGAAUUAAAUUAAUAUAAUGGUAUAACUGUGCGAUAAUUGUAACACAAACGAGUGAAACAAGUACGUAAGUAUGGCAUAAUGAACAAAUAACACUGAUUGUAAAGGUUAUUGAUAACGAAUAAAAGUUACGCUAGGGAUAACAGGGUAAUAUAACGAAAGAGUAGAUAUUGUAAGUUAUGUUUGCCACCUCGAUGUCGACUCAACAUUUCCUCUUGGUUGUAAAAGCUAAGAAGGGUUUGACUGUUCGUCAAUUAAAAUGUUACGUGAGUUGGGUUAAAUACGAUGUGAAUCAGUAUGGUUCCUAUCUGCUGAAGGAAAUAUUAUCAAAUUAAAUCUCAUUAUUAGUACGCAAGGACCAUAAUGAAUCAACCCAUGGUGUAUCUAUUGAUAAUAAUAUAAUAUAUUUAAUAAAAAUAAUACUUUAUUAAUAUAUUAUCUAUAUUAGUUUAUAUUUUAAUUAUAUAUUAUCAUAGUAGAUAAGCUAAGUUGAUAAUAAAUAAAUAUUGAAUACAUAUUAAAUAUGAAGUUGUUUUAAUAAGAUAAUUAAUCUGAUAAUUUUAUACUAAAAUUAAUAAUUAUAGGUUUUAUAUAUUAUUUAUAAAUAAAUAUAUUAUAAUAAUAAUAAUUAUUAUUAUUAAUAAAAAAUAUUAAUUAUAAUAUUAAUAAAAUACUAAUUUAUCAGUUAUCUAUAUAAUAUCUAAUCUAUUAUUCUAUAUACU
This 3211-nucleotide ribosomal RNA is filed under the name Saccharomyces cerevisiae YJM1387. Its description in RNAcentral is "21S ribosomal RNA". The stretch from base 183 to 3056 matches the Rfam family "Bacterial large subunit ribosomal RNA". Lineage: Eukaryota; Fungi; Ascomycota; Saccharomycetes; Saccharomycetales; Saccharomycetaceae. The record is from RNAcentral.